CAUUACACAACAAAAUAUGAAGGCCUGGCUUUCGCGGCCGGCUGAAGUAUUUUUUUCACCCAUGUCUUUUGCGCACUUGUUGUUUCCUGGGCGGGUUCGCCCGCCACCAGGACCAAACCAUAAACCUUUUUUUCUUAUGCAGUUUCCAUCAGCGUCAGUAAAAACAAUGUAAUUAUUACAACUUUCAACAACGGAUCUCUUGGUUCUGGCAUCGAUGAAGAACGCAGCGAAAUGCGAUACGUAGUGUGAAUUGCAGAAUUCAGUGAAUCAUCGAAUCUUUGAACGCACAUUGCGCCCUUUGGUAUUCCAAAGGGCAUGCCUGUUCGAGCGUCAUUUGUACCUUCAAGCUUUGCUUGGUGUUGGGCGUUUUUUUGUCUCCCUCUUUCUGGGAGACUCGCCUUAAAACGAUUGGCAGCCGGCCUACUGGUUUCGGAGCGCAGCACAUUUUUUGCGCUUUGUAUCAGGAGAAAAGGACGGUACUCCAUCAAGACUCUACAUUUUUCACUUUUGACCUCGGAUCAGGUAGGGAUACCCGCUGAA
Molecule: ribosomal RNA, 540 nt
Filed under: Bipolaris oryzae
Lineage: Eukaryota; Fungi; Ascomycota; Dothideomycetes; Pleosporales; Pleosporaceae
Description: eukaryotic LSU rRNA
Rfam family: 5.8S ribosomal RNA (bases 180-333)
Source: RNAcentral